Molecule: ribosomal RNA, 465 nt
Filed under: Vreelandella stevensii
Lineage: Bacteria; Pseudomonadati; Pseudomonadota; Gammaproteobacteria; Oceanospirillales; Halomonadaceae
Description: partial 16S ribosomal RNA
Rfam family: Bacterial small subunit ribosomal RNA
Source: RNAcentral
CCUACGGGCGGCUGCAGUGGGGAAUAUUGGACAAUGGGGGCAACCCUGAUCCAGCCAUGCCGCGUGUGUGAAGAAGGCCCUCGGGUUGUAAAGCACUUUCAGUGAGGAAGAACGCCUGGUGGUUAAUACCCAUCAGGAAAGACAUCACUCACAGAAGAAGCACCGGCUAACUCCGUGCCAGCAGCCGCGGUAAUACGGAGGGUGCGAGCGUUAAUCGGAAUUACUGGGCGUAAAGCGCGCGUAGGUGGCUUGAUAAGCCGGUUGUGAAAGCCCCGGGCUCAACCUGGGAACGGCAUCCGGAACUGUCAAGCUAGAGUGCAGGAGAGGAAGGUAGAAUUCCCGGUGUAGCGGUGAAAUGCGGAGAGAUCGGGAGGAAUACCAGUGGCGAAGGCGGCCUUCUGGACUGACACUGACACUGAGGUGCGAAAGCGUGGGUAGCAAACAGGAUUAGAUACCCUGGUAGUC